UACGUAGGGUGCAAGCGUUAUCCGGAAUUAUUGGGCGUAAAGCGCGCGUAGGUGGUUUGGUAAGUCGGAUGUGAAAACUCGGGGCUCAACCCCGCGCUUGCAUUCGAUACGGGCAGGCUCGAGUUCGGUAGGGGAGACUGGAAUUCCUGGUGUAGCGGUGAAAUGCGCAGAUAUCAGGAGGAACACCGGUGGCGAAGGCGGGUCUCUGGGCCGAUACUGACGCUGAGGCGCGAAAGCGUGGGGAGCAAACAGG
RNAcentral lists this ribosomal RNA (253 nucleotides) under uncultured bacterium. RNAcentral describes it as "partial 16S ribosomal RNA". It matches the Rfam family "Bacterial small subunit ribosomal RNA", at positions 524 to 776 of the family's 1533-position model. The record is from RNAcentral.